UUAGAGGCCAUUUUGGCAGCUGCUGAGCAAAUUUCAUUUGAAAUAAAUACAGCACAAUGCAACCCCACUGACAUGGCAGAGGGAAUGUCCGAGCACAUGGACGCAGAAGAUGGAGGCAAUUUGUGUUGUGUCUGCCGCAUCCAUUUUGAUGACAAGAAGAAGAAUGCUACAAAGAAGUGGCGUUCAUGGUCUCAGUGCUCAGUGUGCCAAUCAUGGUCCCACACUGCCUGUGGUUUUAAAAGAACCAUGUGCCUUCAUUGCCAGGGUCAACACACCAUGCAAACACCCUUAUUUCUAGUAGUCUAUACCUAGGUCUGUUGCCACCGUUUUUGGCUGAUGUCAGUCCCCUUCCUGUUUCUUUGUG
Perca flavescens (yellow perch) is the source of this 364-nucleotide long non-coding RNA. RefSeq lists it as uncharacterized. NCBI's taxonomy places the organism in Eukaryota, Metazoa, Chordata, Actinopteri, Perciformes, Percidae. The transcript is spliced from 3 exons. The record is from RefSeq and is a predicted model, not a curated record.